UACGUAGGGGCCUAGCGUUGUCCGGAAUCAUUGGGCGUAAAGAGCUCGUAGGCGGUUCGGCAAGUCACGUGUGAAAUCUCCACGCUUAACGUGGAGGCGCCACGUGAAACUGCCGUGACUCGAGUCCGGUAGGGGAGUGUGGAAUUCCCGGUGUAGCGGUGAAAUGCGCAGAUAUCGGGAGGAACACCAGUAGCGAAGGCGGCACUCUGGGCCGGUACUGACGCUGAGGAGCGAAAGCUAGGGUAGCAAACGGG
RNAcentral lists this ribosomal RNA (254 nucleotides) under uncultured bacterium. RNAcentral describes it as "partial 16S ribosomal RNA". It matches the Rfam family "Bacterial small subunit ribosomal RNA", at positions 524 to 776 of the family's 1533-position model. The record is from RNAcentral.